ACAUAGAUGCAGGAUACAGUAAUAUUUUUCAUUUAUCUCUUUAGUUUUCUAUUUCCCUUAAUCUGUUUCUUUUACUUACGUACAUUUAUAUGUGUCCUGUUUUUCUCUCUUCAAUUGUUACAGGGGUGGACAACUACAUCUACCUUCAUAUGUGAUGCGGAUACAUGGAGCAAGAAAAAGAGUGAAAAGAGCCCCUAAAAGGCAGUUACAAAUUAGCUUUGUAAGUUCAUGAACCACUGAUUAAUUCAAUCUUAAAUCUAGAGAUUGUGUUUGCUUUGUAUGCUCGCAUCAGGAAAAUUGAGACACUUGUUCUUUUUUUUAUCAUAUCUAGGCUCUUCAUACUAUGAGAUGUAGCAAAUGGGGAACAAAAAAAGAGUAAUUUCUGUUGUUGACAAAAUAUGGGAUGGUGGCGGUCAUUUGCCGAUUGGUUGUCCCUGAUGACAUUAGUUACUCUAUACUUCAACUUUAUGUUGCUCGGAUUCUCCGAAAAUAUCGUCGGGUGCGUGUCAGAUUCUCCAAAAGCAGUGAGAAUCCGAUACGGGUGCAGCAGUAUUUCGAGAGUCCGCGCAACAUAACUUCAACUAUCCUUAUAAGAUUCAUAAGGAACUUUAUCUCUCAUUUAUAAGUAGAUGAAUCUAAUAAGUUGUGUAAAUGGUUCAAGUCAAGAACUGCAAUCGCUGUAGUUUCUGUCGUCUGCAGGUCCUUUGUCAAAAGAAUCAGAUAUAGAGGAUGAUUCACUACUCACGAUGUGGAAUUGGAUAGGUAAAUCUGUCAAGAAGAGAAUAGAGAAACUUCUCACAACGAUUUGACGUCAAGCUCAAAACUUCUUAUAGUCUCCAAUUGUUUCUUCGUUUUAUCUUCUAGAUACUAAUGCUUCCAAUAAUAUCUGAAAGUAUAUAUAGCAAAUUUUAUUGGGGCGAAGUUAUAAUCUCAAAUCAUAUAAUUUUUGUAUCUGUUGGAUUUUCAUUCUAAGGCUUGCUUCUCCAUGGUUGAACAUAUAGUGCAUAAAAUGAAAGAUGAAGAAAGUUUCUUCUACCCGCACAACCUUGAUUAUCAAGGUCGUGCAUACUCCAUGCAUCCAAUUAAACUAUUUUUGUUCUAAAAACUGUCAGGGUGUCCUAAAGUUUGCAUAGGGCAGUCUGAAGAUACAUUUAAAUUGGAAAUAUAUUUGUUGGUCAUGUGGACAAAUCAUUAGUUGAGGGUGAAAUAGUUUCUAUUGAAUAAUUUAACCAUUUCUACUGGAAAAAUCGCUCGAAGGAAGUGACUGACAUGUGGUUUCUAUUAAAGUAGUUCGUCAGCAUGAUUGGCAAUAUUUUAGUCGGAGCUUUAUGAACGACGUUCCUCACCAAUUGAUAGGUCAUGUAUUCCAAAUUAUUUGGUGUUGAAUCCAUAACAACUCGGAGAUUUUCCUUUGUUUGUUCCACUAACUAAUGGAAAAGUUCCAUCAAAAGAAUUCGUCUUUUUGGUAUUCUUCUCAAAGUCACUGAAUACAGGUAAAUGAAAGUUGUCAAUUCAUGGUUGGCCUAGAGACUGGUGUACUCAAGUUGCAUCUGGAAUAUCUUUUCAUUUAUGGCUUUGAGAGAAAUUGCUAAGUAUUUUAUUCUUUGUGACUCAUUUUCUCUGUGAUAUACUUUUUUUGUAUUAAAUUGUUAACAUUCUCAUUACCAUAAAUCUCAUUUUCAUAUCUGCCCAUUCACCUACUAACUUGAUUGAGUUAACAACAAACAUUGCCCACCUCCCUGUUUGGUUUCAGUCAUGUGAAGAUCGUUGAAAGAUGAUAUCUUGGCCUAAAGCUAAGCAAUUUAUUAAAAAUCAGCCUUCUCUGCUUGCAUAUCUCUCACUAGUUAAAUUCAAAUUUUUGUUCUUUUUUGUUCUUUACCUUUUAUUUUGGUGAGCACUAACAAUUAAUCAUUACGUACAGGCGUUCUUUGUGAUGAGCUGUUAAGAAGAAAGCUAAGAAGAAGAGUGUACAACUUGUAACAAUCCAAGCCAGCACCAAAGCUCUUGCACUCCUUCAUUUUCCUACUAUAUAGGGAGUUUCUUUCUCUUCGACAAUUGUCACUCUUGCCAAAGAUGUAAAACUCUCUGAUUUACCCUCGUAUUACUUGGAAAGCCCUCUCCUGCGUUCAUAUACUGAAAGAUUUAAACAUGCUACGUACCCCUCAAAUUCACAAAGCUUCUCAUGAUAUAUAUAUAUAUAUAUAUAUAUAUAUAUAUAUACACACACACACUAGCUAAGAGAUAGAUAAUUUUUCUUCAUAGCAGGGUUUUCUUUUUUCAACUUAGAUCACUUACUUGAUGGGUAAUUGCGCCAUAAGGGUUGAUAAAUCGAACAAAGACGAAGUACAUGAAGUGGAUGAGGAUGCAUCAUCCACUGUUUCUAGUGAAGAAGAGCAAGAUGCAUUUGAAAUCGUUGAUUCUCCAACGGACGUACGAAGAUGAAGGGCUAUUAUUGUCACAACGAUCUUGAUUGCCUUCAGUGAUCAUACAUAAAGAACGAUGAUCUUUAUCCUCCAUAUUACUAACACAUCGAAACCAUUGAUCUUGAAACAUGCCAUCCCCACCCCCAUUUAAUUUUCGGUAAUUCUUGAUAUCGGAGAAGAAGAUAUAUCCAACAAAAAAAGGGGAAAAGAAGCAACUAUUUUUGAGUCAGCGUGCCUUAUCUUCGCAUUCGAGAUCAUCUUUUUCUCUAUAUAUGGUUGGUUUCAAAUGAAUGUCUUGAAUAGAGUGGCACUAACUUGAAGAAGACAAGCACGACGAACCAAUCGUACAUAUAAGUUUAAUUUAAUGCAGCGAAAAUUUAAAUUUUACACAAUUUAAAUUAUAAUUAAAUGUAAUUUAUAUCUAUAUAUAC
This 2854-nucleotide long non-coding RNA is filed under the name Nicotiana benthamiana. RNAcentral's name for it is "long non-coding RNA (NBEN_LNC014088)". Lineage: Eukaryota; Viridiplantae; Streptophyta; Magnoliopsida; Solanales; Solanaceae. The record is from RNAcentral.